CCUACGGGUGACAGCAGUGGGGAAUAUUGGGCAAUGGGCGCAAGCCUGACCCAGCAAUGCCGCGUGAAGGAAGAAGGCUUUCGGGUUGUAAACUUCUUUGACAGGGGAAGAGCAGAAGACGGUACCCUGAAAACAAGCCACGGCUAACUACGUGCCAGCAGCCGCGGUAAUACGUAGGUGGCAAGCGUUGUCCGGAUUUAUUGGGUUUAAAGGGUGCGCAGGCGGCCUGUUAAGUCAGCGGUAAAAGCCCGGGGCUCAACCCCGGCGAGCCGUUGAAACUGGCGGGCUGGAGUUGGAGAGAAGUACGCGGAAUGCGCGGUGUAGCGGUGAAAUGCUUAGAUAUCGCGCAGAACCCCGAUUGCGAAGGCAGCGUACCGGCUCCACACUGACGCUGAGGCACGAAAGCGUGGGUAUCGAACAGGAUUAGAUACCCUUGUAGUC
RNAcentral lists this ribosomal RNA (441 nucleotides) under uncultured bacterium. RNAcentral's name for it is "partial 16S ribosomal RNA". It matches the Rfam family "Bacterial small subunit ribosomal RNA", at positions 338 to 795 of the family's 1533-position model. The record is from RNAcentral.